ACGGAAGGCAGCAGUGGGGAAUAUUGGUCAAUGGACGGAAGUCUGAACCAGCCAAGUCGCGUGCGGGAGGAAGGCCCUACGGGUCGUAAACCGCUUUUGUACGGGGAUAAAGUCACCCACGUGUGGGUGUUUGUAGGUACCGUAAGAAUAAGGAUCGGCUAACUCCGUGCCAGCAGCCGCGGUAAUACGGAGGAUCCGAGCGUUAUCCGGAUUUAUUGGGUUUAAAGGGUGCGCAGGCGGCUUUUUAAGUCAGCGGUCAAAUGUCAGCGCCCAACGCUGGCCUGCCGUUGAUACUGAUGGGCUUGAAUACACACAAGGAAGGUGGAAUUCGUCGUGUAGCGGUGAAAUGCUUAGAUAUGACGAAGAACUCCGAUUGCGAAGGCAGCCUUCUGGAGUGCGAUUGACGCUGAGGCUCGAAAGCGCGGGUAUCAAACAGGAUUAGAUACCCUGGUA
Molecule: ribosomal RNA, 453 nt
Filed under: uncultured Prevotellaceae bacterium
Lineage: Bacteria; Pseudomonadati; Bacteroidota; Bacteroidia; Bacteroidales; Prevotellaceae
Description: partial 16S ribosomal RNA
Rfam family: Bacterial small subunit ribosomal RNA
Source: RNAcentral